Molecule: small RNA, 519 nt
Filed under: Pan troglodytes (chimpanzee)
Lineage: Eukaryota; Metazoa; Chordata; Mammalia; Primates; Hominidae
Description: processed transcript
Source: RNAcentral
GACAAUGUUGACAUAGGAUUCAGGAAUCAGGUUGAUGACAUUCGAAGCUUUUUGGAUUCCAGACAUCUUGACCACUACACAGUAUACAAUCUGUCACCUAAGUCUUAUCGAACUGCCAAGUUUCACAGCCGGGUCUCAGAAUGCAGUUGGCCCAUUAGGCAGGCUCCCAGUCUGCACAACCUUUUUGCUGUGUGUCGGAAUAUGUAUAACUGGCUACUGCAGAAUCCCAAAAAUGUCUGUGUUGUCCACUGCUUGGUGAGUAACCUUUUGUUGUUGGUGGUGAUGGUUUGGUUUGGUCAAAUAUGGAUGAGCCUGUACACAAUGGUAGACAGGUAACAUUUGAGUUCAAUAGGAUUUACUGAGCCCAUAUUUAGGAAUUGGGUAAUGUGAGAGUUGUAAAAAUAAGAAAGGGAUUUAUUAUUCUUGACUUAAAGCUUGACUACUAGUGGGAAAGGCAGAUGUAUACACAACUCACAUAGUGUGGGGACUCUAGAAUGUGCUAAGUAUUAUAAAGGAGGU